GAGAUGCGAUAAGUAGUGUGAAUUGCAGAAUUCAGUGAAUCAUCGAAUCUUUGAACGCACAUUGCGCCCUUUGGUAUUCCAAAGGGCAUGCCUGUUCGAGCGUCAUUUGUACCCUCAAGCUUUGCUUGGUGUUGGGCGUCUUGUCUCUAGCUUUGCUGGAGACUCGCCUUAAAGUAAUUGGCAGCCGGCCUACUGGUUUCGGAGCGCAGCACAAGUCGCACUCUCUAUCAGCAAAGGUCUAGCAUCCAUUAAGCCUUUUUUCAACUUUUGACCUCGGAUCAGGUAGGGAUACCCGCUGAACUUAAGC
Molecule: unclassified non-coding RNA, 307 nt
Filed under: plant metagenome
Description: partial contains 5.8S ribosomal RNA, internal transcribed spacer 2, and large subunit ribosomal RNA
Rfam family: 5.8S ribosomal RNA (bases 1-105)
Source: RNAcentral